GAAUGAGAGGUGACGCUCUGUCUUUCUCUCUGUUUCAAAGGUAUAUCACUCAAUUCUCACAGUAAACUGAUAAUGUAGCUACCAUUAUCAUUCCCAGUGAAAAACUGAGGCACGUGGAUUUUAACUUGUCUUAUAAUAAGAGAGAGAGAGAGAUUCUUCUUACAUUGAGGUGUGGAGGUGGUAGUUAAGGAGACAAGAGCACCAUUUAAGUCAAUCUCCCAACCUCACAAGCUUAUCUCAGGCUGGUUUGGCAGGUGUAUAACAUUGUAAUAUCCAUGCCGUCUUUGGGUAAUCGGUGAGAAGCAUAGGGGUAUUCUUAGAGGGCGAAGGAAAAGCUUUUGAAGGAGUUGCCCUACCUCAGACAGGUCACCGCUAGAGGACCAGGAGGAGGAAGUGGAGUGGGCUUCUCACCCUCUGCAUUAAGGGAUGUAGCAAAAACCAUGGAGCAAGGACACAGCAUCAGGAUGUUAUAAAUGAGAGAUCCUAUCACCUGCUAAUGCAACUUGAUGGUUUCUUGGGCUUUUUAUUUUAGUUUGAAGUGGCUGCACCUGGGGCAGUGUAAUGUUUCAAUUCUCCUACAUUUCUCUUAGUUUCUGCGUAGAAAUGCUAGAAGCAUGUCUGGUUGAUGGAAUUCCUCUAAUGUCAGAAUACGAGACAGAUGGAAGAUUAGAUUCAAGAAAAGAAAAAAAAAAAAGCCACGUCCAUGUUCUCAGGUCUCUGCAGAUUGAGCAAGUGCUGAAGCUGGUGCUCCUAGCUCCACCUUGAGCUUUGCAAUCACCUUUCAAAAAGAAGGAAGAAAGUAAGAGGAAGAAGAGGAAGAGGGGAACAUGUUUAGUCUCCAUAAUGUAAAAAGCUACACAACUCACCCAGGAAUUGCAAAAUUGCAAAGGACGAGGGAUCAAUCAUUUUGAAAGUCUUUAUUAGGGAAGUUCUUUACUCAGUCUUUAAGUCUAGUGAUUAAAAGGGGCUUUCCCCCCACCUUCUUCUAGAGAAUACUUCAGAAGCCAGUCUGAAAAAAAAUGAACACAUGUUUUUCAUGAGCUUUCUAAAUCAUGUGGUAGGUGAAGUGACCCAUUUGCCCUUAUUGUGAGGUGCUGGCCUUAAUUUACAACUGGGGUGAAGGGAGAGAAGGAAAGCACAAUGAAGUAGUGGCCCAUUACUUAUGCUACCAAGCCCUGUAAUCAGAAGAAAUCAUGGAAACUGAGGAUGGAGAUGUAAGGUAUUUCUAAUAAAUGAGAACAGUUGCUUUGACGUGACACAGGAAGUGGGGACACCCUAUGGCUUUUGCUUUUUGGUGAGGAAGAUUGGCCCUGAGCUAACAUCUAUUUCCAGUGCUCCUCUAUUUUGUAUGUGGAAUGCCACCACAGCAUGGCUUGAUGAGCAGUGCAUAGGUCCAUGCCUGGGAUCUGAAUCUGCGAACCCUGGACCACUGAAAUGGAGCACACAAAAUUAACCACCGUGCCACUAGGCCAGCCCCUAAACUAUAAUUUUUUAACAGGUGUGCAAAAUGUUCAGUUUUAUGUUUUAGAUGUAGUGAUAAUUCAAAAAUAGGAAAAAGCUCAGCAUUUAUUUUGUCUAAAGUCAAUGAAAGAAUACACUUGAGAGUAUCACAAUGAUUUGUUGGUGAAAUCCUCCUACUAUGGGUAAAUUUCAACCCAAUUAGACAAUGUUUCACUUCAGAUGAAUUUGAUUGUUAUAAAGUUCCUUUUAUGGUGAGCUGAACUUUUGCCUUUUUGUAAUUUUUGUUCAUUUCUUGUUGGGUAGAUACACAGGACAAAUCUAGUCCCUUUAUAUCUUGCAGUCCCCCAGUCUCUGAAGAUACACGACAUUCCUCUUGAAUUGUAUCUAAGGUUCAAGGAUGUAGGUGCCACUGGGGAUUUUUUUUUUGUAAUAUAUCAGGCUGCUGACAAACUAGAAGUAUAUUUGUAUCUGCUGCUAAUACAUGGAAUAUUUCACAUUUCUACCUAGGAUUUUGAGGUUAAUGAUCAAGUGUCCUGGCCCUUUUCAUGAUGCUCUAAAACUGGGGACAUGAUUUAACUGAUUUAUGGUACAAGAAGUUAAACACUUAUAUUUGAGAAAAUGUUUAAAAUAUUUUGUAUUUUAGGAACAUAGAAUAACCUUUGUCUAGGGAUUCAGUUGUCAUGUUCAUACUAAUUUAUGCAAAUAAAAUCAGAGUUUCAAUAGCCACUGUGCCUCUAAAGGUUAUAUUCUUUUAAUUAGAAUCAAGCAAUUAAUUCUAAAUGUUUCCCCAUAUUUUUCUGGAAGCAUUCUCCUUCUUUACCAAAGCUCUUAUAUUUCUUCCCAUUCUAUUUUUUAGCAUGUAAAAUAAUGAAAAUUUAUGCUUUGCUUCAUCCUGGAAUUAAUUGCCCCUCUUUUUAUCAAGUAUCAAUCCAAUGUUUCUCUUCAGGAUUUUAUGGCUUUCUGUGCAUGUCUACUUGUGAUAUGUAAUGUUAGAACAAAGUGAGUGUUCCUUAUCAUUUUGACACCUUAAAUCUAUGCUGCUGAGUUAUGCGACUAGGAAAUUAGUAAUAACCAAGUCUUAUUCUAACAUAAAUUUAUAUUUUUAAAG
Molecule: long non-coding RNA, 2569 nt
Filed under: Equus caballus (horse)
Lineage: Eukaryota; Metazoa; Chordata; Mammalia; Perissodactyla; Equidae
Description: lncRNA (ENSECAG00000044735.1)
Source: RNAcentral